UGAAGAACUAGAUUCCAGAGAAUCAAACAA
Molecule: non-coding RNA, 30 nt
Filed under: Mus musculus (house mouse)
Lineage: Eukaryota; Metazoa; Chordata; Mammalia; Rodentia; Muridae
Source: RNAcentral